RNAcentral lists this ribosomal RNA (778 nucleotides) under uncultured Neocallimastigales. RNAcentral's name for it is "partial large subunit ribosomal RNA". It matches the Rfam family "Eukaryotic large subunit ribosomal RNA", at positions 24 to 629 of the family's 3401-position model. The record is from RNAcentral. Lineage: Eukaryota; Fungi; Neocallimastigomycota; Neocallimastigomycetes; Neocallimastigales.
UAUCUCUGUAGAGUCUGCAUAUCAAUAAGCGGAGGAAAAGAAACUAACUAAGGAUUCCCUUAGUAACGGCGAGUGAAGCGGGAAGAGCUCAAAUUUGAAAUCUUCAAGGUUUUACCUUGACGAAUUGUAGUUUAAAGAAGUGUUUUCUGUUGAAGUUUUGGUAAAAGUUCUUUGGAAUAGGACAUCAUAGAGGGUGAGAAUCCCGUAUUUGACCAGUUAUUUUCAGCCUGUGUGAUACACUUUCAAAGAGUCGGAUUGUUUGGGAAUGCAGUCCAAAAUGGGUGGUAAAUUUCAUCUAAAGCUAAAUAUUGGCGAGAGACCGAUAGCGAACAAGUACCGUGAGGGAAAGAUGAAAAGAACUUUGAAAAGAGAGUUAAACAGUACGUGAAAUUGUCAAAAGGGAAGCGUUUGACACCAGUGUUGUUUUCUCGAAAAUCAAUUAAAAAUGGCAUGAUUUUGUGUUGUAUUGACUUUAUCAAGCUUUCUGCACUCUUUUCUUGUCUUUUUUAAUGCACUUUUCGUUUAACAAGUCAACAUCAAUUUCUUUUGUUGUAAAAGGGUCAUUGGAAGGUGGCUUUCUUUUCGGAGAAAGUGUUUAUAGCCUUUGGCCUCUGCAAUCGGAGAGAUUGAGGUCUGCAGCGUAGAUCCUUCGGGGUUAGAUACAUUUGUGCUAAGUUAUAGCCUUUCAUAGACAACUUGUUGACUAUGAUCAGUCAUGUAGCUUACUCGCUUAUGCUAUUUUACCUACGCUUAGGAUGUUGAUAGUCACAGCGUGUAC